This 253-nucleotide ribosomal RNA is filed under the name uncultured bacterium. RNAcentral describes it as "partial 16S ribosomal RNA". It matches the Rfam family "Bacterial small subunit ribosomal RNA", at positions 524 to 776 of the family's 1533-position model. The record is from RNAcentral.
UACGGAGGGCGCAAGCGUUUUUCGGAAUCACUGGGCGUAAAGCGCGUGUAGGCGGCUUGGCAAGUCGGAUGUGAAAUCCCGAGGCUCAACCUCGGAACUGCACUCGAAACUGCCUGGCUCGAGUCCCGGAGAGGGAGGCGGAAUUCCUGGUGUAGGGGUGAAAUCCGUAGAUAUCGGGAGGAACACCAGUGGCGAAGGCGGCCACCUGGACGGUGACUGACGCUGAGACGCGGAAGCGUGGGGAGCAAACAGG